This 76-nucleotide transfer RNA is filed under the name Thermoleophilia bacterium. RNAcentral describes it as "tRNA-Gly". It matches the Rfam family "tRNA". Rfam says of the family: Transfer RNA (tRNA) molecules are approximately 80 nucleotides in length. Their secondary structure includes four short double-helical elements and three loops (D, anti-codon, and T loops). Further hydrogen bonds mediate the characteristic L-shaped molecular structure. tRNAs have two regions of fundamental functional importance: the anti-codon, which is responsible for specific mRNA codon recognition, and the 3' end, to which the tRNAs corresponding amino acid is attached (by aminoacyl-tRNA synthetases). tRNAs cope with the degeneracy of the genetic code in two manners: having more than one tRNA (with a specific anti-codon) for a particular amino acid; and 'wobble' base-pairing, i.e. permitting non-standard base-pairing at the 3rd anti-codon position. The record is from RNAcentral. RNAcentral also lists the same sequence under 1 other name. Lineage: Bacteria; Bacillati; Actinomycetota; Thermoleophilia.
GCGGAGUUAACUCAGUUGGUAGAGUGCUAGCUUCCCAAGCUGGAUGUCGCGGGUUCGAAUCCCGUACUCCGCUCCA